UACGUAGGGUGCAAGCGUUGUCCGGAAUUAUUGGGCGUAAAGAGCUCGUAGGCGGUUUGUCGCGUCUGCUGUGAAAACUCGGGGCUUAACCCCGGACUUGCGGUGGGUACGGGCAGACUAGAGUGUGGUAGGGGAGACUGGAAUUCCUGGUGUAGCGGUGAAAUGCGCAGAUAUCAGGAGGAACACCGAUGGCGAAGGCAGGUCUCUGGGCCACUACUGACGCUGAGGAGCGAAAGCAUGGGGAGCGAACAGG
This 253-nucleotide ribosomal RNA is filed under the name uncultured bacterium. Its description in RNAcentral is "partial 16S ribosomal RNA". It matches the Rfam family "Bacterial small subunit ribosomal RNA", at positions 524 to 776 of the family's 1533-position model. The record is from RNAcentral.